This 451-nucleotide ribosomal RNA is filed under the name uncultured bacterium. RNAcentral describes it as "partial 16S ribosomal RNA". It matches the Rfam family "Bacterial small subunit ribosomal RNA", at positions 29 to 523 of the family's 1533-position model. The record is from RNAcentral.
AACGAACGCUGGCGGCAGGUCUUAGGCAUGCAAGUCGAACGGGUGUAGUAAUACACCAGUGGCGAACGAGUGAGUAACGCGUGGGAAUCUGCCCAUCUCUGGGGAAUAACGUUUGGAAACGAACGCUAAUACCGCAUACGCCCGCAAGGGGAAAGAUUUAUCGGAGAUGGAUGAGCCCGCGUUGGAUUAGCUAGUUGGUGGGGUAAUGGCCUACCAAGGCGACGAUCCAUAGCUGGUCUGAGAGGAUGAUCAGCCACACUGGGACUGAGACACGGCCCAGACUCCUACGGGAGGCAGCAGUGGGGAAUAUUGGACAAUGGGCGAAAGCCUGAUCCAGCCAUGCCGCGUGAGUGAUGAAGGCCCUAGGGUUGUAAAGCUCUUUCAACGGUGAAGAUAAUGACGGUAACCGUAGAAGAAGCCCCGGCUAACUUCGUGCCAGCCGCCGCGGUAA